This 433-nucleotide ribosomal RNA is filed under the name uncultured bacterium. Its description in RNAcentral is "partial 16S ribosomal RNA". It matches the Rfam family "Bacterial small subunit ribosomal RNA", at positions 29 to 507 of the family's 1533-position model. The record is from RNAcentral.
AACGAACGCUGGCGGCAUGCCUAACACAUGCAAGUCGAACGAGACCUUCGGGUCUAGUGGCGCACGGGUGCGUAACGCGUGGGAACCUGCCCUUAGGUUCGGAAUAACUCCCCGAAAGGGGUGCUAAUAACGGAGAAUGUCUUCGGACCAAAGAUUUAUCGCCUUUGGAUGGGCCCGCGUUGGAUUAGCUAGUUGGUAGGGUAAAAGCCUACCAAGGCGACGAUCCAUAGCUGGUCUGAGAGGAUGAUCAGCCACACUGGGACUGAGACACGGCCCAGACUCCUACGGGAGGCAGCAGUGGGGAAUAUUGGACAAUGGGCGAAAGCCUGAUCCAGCAAUGCCGCGUGAGUGAUGAAGGCCUUAGGGUUGUAAAGCUCUUUUACCCGGGAUGAUAAUGACAGUACCGGGAGAAUAAGCUCCGGCUAACUCCGUG